RNAcentral lists this long non-coding RNA (717 nucleotides) under Rattus norvegicus (Norway rat). RNAcentral describes it as "long non-coding RNA NONRATT008826". The record is from RNAcentral. Lineage: Eukaryota; Metazoa; Chordata; Mammalia; Rodentia; Muridae.
CCCCACCACCUUAACUUCCCCAUCUUCUUGUCUAAGCCCCUUGAGUUGAGUUUGUCUAAGUGUUUCAACAGAGCAAAAGGAAAAGCCAGUAAGACAUCUGCGAUUGAAUGUCUUGCGAUAAGCAACUUAAAAGAAGGGUUUGCCUUCACUUACAUUUCAAGGAGAUUCGAACUGUCUGGGAGGGGAAUGGCAGAAGAAGCAGGAAGCUGGUCGUGCUAUAUCCUCGACAGGAAGCAGAGGAGGAAGAAUGCUAACUCUCAGCUCACUUCCUCAUUUUUACUCAGAGGGUCUUGCCUCACGGACUAAACACCUCUGGAAACACCUUCACAGAAAUACCCAAUCAAACUGACAGCAAAGAUGAACUGUGGGGGACAAUGGAAACUGAGGUUGGAAGUGAUAGGCAGGACAAGCAGAGAAUUCUCCUCCUGAGACCAGUUGCCUUAGUGGUGGCCAAAGAGCUCCCCACUUUUACUGUAUUUCCUAGAAUAGGAUUCCAUAGAAAUAAACCCCAAAGUCCUAUUCAGUCGCAACAUAAAAAAGAGAGGAGCAGGAGAGUCUGAAUUAUGGGGUCAGGGCCCCAAGCCUAGAGAGUCACAUGGGCCGAGGAGUCCUGAGAUGUGCUUCUCACUGUCAGCCCCAGACCCCUGAUCGCAGAUACAAAGUCAGGCUAUUGAUAAUGUUCUGUCAUUGACGUUCUAUAACCUGCAGACGUUAAAC